GAUCAUAACUCAGGAUGAACGCUAGCGGCAGGCUUAACACAUGCAAGUCGAGGGGCAGCAUAAUGGAUAGCAAUAUCUAUGGUGGCGACCGGCGCACGGGUGCGUAACGCGUAUGCAACCUACCUUUAACAGGGGGAUAACACUGAGAAAUUGGUACUAAUACCCCAUAAUAUCAUAGAAGGCAUCUUUUAUGGUUGAAAAUUCCGAUGGUUAGAGAUGGGCAUGCGUUGUAUUAG
RNAcentral lists this ribosomal RNA (236 nucleotides) under uncultured bacterium. Its description in RNAcentral is "partial 16S ribosomal RNA". It matches the Rfam family "Bacterial small subunit ribosomal RNA", at positions 15 to 244 of the family's 1533-position model. The record is from RNAcentral.